This 254-nucleotide ribosomal RNA is filed under the name uncultured bacterium. RNAcentral's name for it is "partial 16S ribosomal RNA". It matches the Rfam family "Bacterial small subunit ribosomal RNA", at positions 524 to 777 of the family's 1533-position model. The record is from RNAcentral.
UACGGGGGGGGCAAGCGUUGUUCGGAAUUACUGGGCGUAAAGGGCUCGUAGGCGGCCAACUAAGUCGGAUGUGAAAUCCCCAGGCUUAACCUGGGAACUGCAUCCGAUACUGGAUGGCUUGAAUUCGGGAGAGGGAUGCAGAAUUCCAGGUGUAGCGGUGAAAUGCGUAGAUAUCUGGAGGAAUACCGGUGGCGAAGGCGGCAUCCUGGACCGACAUUGACGCUGAGGAGCGAAAGCUAGGGGAGCAAACGGGG